RNAcentral lists this ribosomal RNA (488 nucleotides) under uncultured beta proteobacterium. RNAcentral describes it as "bacterial SSU rRNA". It matches the Rfam family "Bacterial small subunit ribosomal RNA", at positions 30 to 508 of the family's 1533-position model. The record is from RNAcentral. Lineage: Bacteria; Pseudomonadati; Pseudomonadota; Betaproteobacteria.
AUUGAACGCUGGCGGCAUGCCUUACACAUGCAAGUCGAACGGCAGCACGAGAGCUUGCUCUUGGUGGCGAGUGGCGAACGGGUGAGUAAUAUAUCGGAACGUACCCUAGAGUGGGGGAUAACGCAGCGAAAGUUGCGCUAAUACCGCAUACGAUCUACGGAUGAAAGUGGGGGAUCGCAAGACCUCAUGCUCAUGGAGCGGCCGAUAUCUGAUUAGCUAGUUGGUGGGGUAAAAGCCUACCAAGGCUUCGAUCAGUAGCUGGUCUGAGAGGACGACCCAGCCACACUGGAACUGAGACACGGUCCAGACUCCUACGGGAGGCAGCAGUGGGGAAUUUUGGACAAUGGGCGAAAGCUGGAUCCAGCAAUGCCGCGUGAGUUAAGAAGGCCUUCGGGUUGUAAAGCUCUUUUGUCAGGGAAGAAACGGUGAGCUCUAAUACAGUUUGCUAAUGACGGUACCUGAAGAAUAAGCACCGGCUAACUACGUGC